Molecule: ribosomal RNA, 119 nt
Filed under: Pteropus vampyrus (large flying fox)
Lineage: Eukaryota; Metazoa; Chordata; Mammalia; Chiroptera; Pteropodidae
Source: RNAcentral
GUCUCCGGUCGCGCCGCCCUGAACGCACCCGAUCCCGUCCGAUCUUGGGCGCUCAGCAGGGCCGGGCCUGGUUAGGACUCGGAUGGGAGACCACCCAGGACGACCAGGUGCCGUAGGCG